Molecule: ribosomal RNA, 2119 nt
Filed under: Escherichia coli
Lineage: Bacteria; Pseudomonadati; Pseudomonadota; Gammaproteobacteria; Enterobacterales; Enterobacteriaceae
Description: partial 23S ribosomal RNA
Rfam family: Bacterial large subunit ribosomal RNA
Source: RNAcentral
GGGUUGUGAGGUUAAGCGACUAAGCGUACACGGUGGAUGCCCUGGCAGUCAGAGGCGAUGAAGGACGUGCUAAUCUGCGAUAAGCGUCGGUAAGGUGAUAUGAACCGUUAUAACCGGCGAUUUCCGAAUGGGGAAACCCAGUGUGAUUCGUCACACUAUCAUUAACUGAAUCCAUAGGUUAAUGAGGCGAACCGGGGGAACUGAAACAUCUAAGUACCCCGAGGAAAAGAAAUCAACCGAGAUUCCCCCAGUAGCGGCGAGCGAACGGGGAGCAGCCCAGAGCCUGAAUCAGUGUGUGUGUUAGUGGAAGCGUCUGGAAAGGCGCGCGAUACAGGGUGACAGCCCCGUACACAAAAAUGCACAUGCUGUGAGCUCGAUGAGUAGGGCGGGACACGUGGUAUCCUGUCUGAAUAUGGGGGGACCAUCCUCCAAGGCUAAAUACUCCUGACUGACCGAUAGUGAACCAGUACCGUGAGGGAAAGGCGAAAAGAACCCCGGCGAGGGGAGUGAAAAAGAACCUGAAACCGUGUACGUACAAGCAGUGGGAGCACGCUUAGGCGUGUGACUGCGUACCUUUUGUAUAAUGGGUCAGCGACUUAUAUUCUGUAGCAAGGUUAACCGAAUAGGGGAGCCGAAGGGAAACCGAGUCUUAACUGGGCGUUAAGUUGCAGGGUAUAGACCCGAAACCCGGUGAUCUAGCCAUGGGCAGGUUGAAGGUUGGGUAACACUAACUGGAGGACCGAACCGACUAAUGUUGAAAAAUUAGCGGAUGACUUGUGGCUGGGGGUGAAAGGCCAAUCAAACCGGGAGAUAGCUGGUUCUCCCCGAAAGCUAUUUAGGUAGCGCCUCGUGAAUUCAUCUCCGGGGGUAGAGCACUGUUUCGGCAAGGGGGUCAUCCCGACUUACCAACCCGAUGCAAACUGCGAAUACCGGAGAAUGUUAUCACGGGAGACACACGGCGGGUGCUAACGUCCGUCGUGAAGAGGGAAACAACCCAGACCGCCAGCUAAGGUCCCAAAGUCAUGGUUAAGUGGGAAACGAUGUGGGAAGGCCCAGACAGCCAGGAUGUUGGCUUAGAAGCAGCCAUCAUUUAAAGAAAGCGUAAUAGCUCACUGGUCGAGUCGGCCUGCGCGGAAGAUGUAACGGGGCUAAACCAUGCACCGAAGCUGCGGCAGCGACGCUUAUGCGUUGUUGGGUAGGGGAGCGUUCUGUAAGCCUGUGAAGGUGUACUGUGAGGUAUGCUGGAGGUAUCAGAAGUGCGAAUGCUGACAUAAGUAACGAUAAAGCGGGUGAAAAGCCCGCUCGCCGGAAGACCAAGGGUUCCUGUCCAACGUUAAUCGGGGCAGGGUGAGUCGACCCCUAAGGCGAGGCCGAAAGGCGUAGUCGAUGGGAAACAGGUUAAUAUUCCUGUACUUGGUGUUACUGCGAAGGGGGGACGGAGAAGGCUAUGUUGGCCGGGCGACGGUUGUCCCGGUUUAAGCGUGUAGGCUGGUUUUCCAGGCAAAUCCGGAAAAUCAAGGCUGAGGCGUGAUGACGAGGCACUACGGUGCUGAAGCAACAAAUGCCCUGCUUCCAGGAAAAGCCUCUAAGCAUCAGGUAACAUCAAAUCGUACCCCAAACCGACACAGGUGGUCAGGUAGAGAAUACCAAGGCGCUUGAGAGAACUCGGGUGAAGGAACUAGGCAAAAUGGUGCCGUAACUUCGGGAGAAGGCACGCUGAUAUGUAGGUGAAGCGACUUGCUCGUGGAGCUGAAAUCAGUCGAAGAUACCAGCUGGCUGCAACUGUUUAUUAAAAACACAGCACUGUGCAAACACGAAAGUGGACGUAUACGGUGUGACGCCUGCCCGGUGCCGGAAGGUUAAUUGAUGGGGUCAGCGCAAGCGAAGCUCUUGAUCGAAGCCCCGGUAAACGGCGGCCGUAACUAUAACGGUCCUAAGGUAGCGAAAUUCCUUGUCGGGUAAGUUCCGACCUGCACGAAUGGCGUAAUGAUGGCCAGGCUGUCUCCACCCGAGACUCAGUGAAAUUGAACUCGCUGUGAAGAUGCAGUGUACCCGCGGCAAGACGGAAAGACCCCGUGAACCUUUACUAUAGCUUGACACUGAACAUUGAGCCUUGAUG